Molecule: unclassified non-coding RNA, 391 nt
Filed under: soil metagenome
Description: partial contains 5.8S ribosomal RNA, internal transcribed spacer 2, and large subunit ribosomal RNA
Rfam family: 5.8S ribosomal RNA (bases 1-122)
Source: RNAcentral
GAUGAAGAACGUAGCGAAAUGCGAUACUUGGUGUGAAUUGCAGAAUCCCGUGAACCAUCGAGUCUUUGAACGCAAGUUGCGCCCGAAGCCAUUAGGCCGAGGGCACGCCUGCCUGGGCGUCACACGUCGUUGCCCCCCCAUCUACUCCUUCGGGAUUGCGGGGGGCGGAUGAUGGCCUCCCGUGCGCCUCGUCGCGCGGUUGGCCUAAAUGCCAAGUCCUCGGCGACGCACGCCACGACAAUCGGUGGUUGCGAAACCUCGGUUGCCCGUCGUGUGCGGUCGUCGCGCAUCGAGGGCUCGAAAAAAUUGCCGGGCUUCGGCUCGACUUUCAACGCGACCCCAAGUCAGGCGGGGUUACCCGCUGAAUUUAAGCAUAUCAAUAAGCGGAGGA